Long non-coding RNA from Monodelphis domestica (gray short-tailed opossum), 754 nucleotides. RefSeq lists it as uncharacterized. Lineage: Eukaryota; Metazoa; Chordata; Mammalia; Didelphimorphia; Didelphidae. The record is from RefSeq and is a predicted model, not a curated record.
UCUUAAAGAUUGGAUUUCAUCCCUGGAUUUUUGUUCAUCCUUCUCCUUCAGCUUGGUUGGGCUGGAUGUGCCCUGAAGCCAAAAUCUCCUGGAAGGCUAGAACUCCUUCCCCGCCACCUGUGUUUGACACUGAGCCUGGCACAGCCCUGCCCACAAGGGGGAGGAGUCAAGAUGGCCACUUAGAAGCAGCUAAGUCCAGACAUCUGUGAAAAUCCUUCCACAUCCAUCAAAAACAAAAUGCUUCGAUCAAAUCUAACAAUAGGACAGAGCUGGGGGACCCUCCACUUCAAUUCAACUUAUAAGUCUUUGAGGGAUGCUGCUAUUGCUGAUGUCGAUUCUUCAAAAAAGUUUGUGAGUCAGACAGGUGUUAUUGGCAAUUGGAGCCAAUAUUCAUGCCACAGCACCUACUCUCUAAAGACAUUUUACAAAAGACAAAAGCAGUCAUUACCUUGAGUAUCUCAUUUAAUGGUUUCAUACCUUCUGGGGACAGGAGAUAAAUGAAGGAGACAAGCAAUUUGAUUUUGAUUAUAACAUGUGAGGCCAUGCAAAACAUAUUUACAAGCUAAUCAAGUUGCAAAAGAAAACACAAAGUAAAACAAUAAAAAUAAAGUUAAAAAAAAGCAUUUUUCCAUCUGCAUUCAGAAUUCUUCAAUUCUCUCUCUGGAAGUGGAUAGCAAUUUUGUCAUGGGUCAUUUAGAAUUGUCUUCUCAUCAUCUUAUUUCCUGUGAAGCUAUGCAGGCUGCCUGAAGUCCUU